RNAcentral lists this ribosomal RNA (1318 nucleotides) under uncultured bacterium. RNAcentral describes it as "bacterial SSU rRNA". It matches the Rfam family "Bacterial small subunit ribosomal RNA", at positions 64 to 1380 of the family's 1533-position model. The record is from RNAcentral.
GAGGGGCAUCACGGCGGCAGCGAUGCCGCUGGUGGCGACCGGCGCACGGGUGAGUAACGCGUAUCCAACCUGCCCCCAUCCCGGGAAUAGCCUCCUGAAAGGGAGAUUAACGCCCGAUGGUCCCAUGGCGGAGCAUUUUUCCAUGGGUAAAGUUUUACGGAUGGGGCUGGGGAUGCGUUCCAUUAGGAAGCAGGCGGGGUAACGGCCCACCUGUCCUGCGAUGGAUAGGGGUUCUGAGAGGAAGGUCCCCCACAUUGGAACUGAGACACGGUCCAAACUCCUACGGGAGGCAGCAGUGAGGAAUAUUGGUCAAUGGGCGGUAGCCUGAACCAGCCAAGUAGCGUGGACGAUGGAGGCCCUAUGGGUUGUGAAGUCCUUUUGCGCGGGGGUAAAGUGCGCCACGAGUGGCGCAUUGCAAGUACCGUGCGAAUAAGCAUCGGCUAACUCCGUGCCAGCAGCCGCGGUAAUACGGAGGAUGCGAGCGUUAUCCGGAUUUAUUGGGUUUAAAGGGAGCGUAGAUGGGAUGUCAAGUCAGUUGUGAAAGUUCGGGGCUCAACCUUGGAAUUGCAGUUGAAACUGACGUUCUUGAGUGCGGUUGCGGAAGGCGGAAUUCAGCGUGUAGCGGUGAAAUGCUUAGAUAUGCUGAAGAACUCCGAUUGCGAAGGCAGCUUUCCAAGCCGUUACUGACAUUGAUGCUCGAAGGUGCGGGCAUCAAACAGGAUUAGAUACCCUGGUAGUCCGCACGGUAAACGAUGAAUGCUCGCUGUCGGCGACAGACUGUCGGCGGCCAAGCGAAAGCGUUAAGCAUUCCACCUGGGGAGUACGCCGGCAACGGUGAAACUCAAAGGAAUUGACGGGGGCCCGCACAAGCGGAGGAACAUGUGGUUUAAUUCGAUGAUACGCGAGGAACCUUACCCGGGCUUGAAUUGCGCUGGACGGGGCGUGAGAGCGUCCUUUCUUCGGACCAGCGUGAAGGUGCUGCAUGGUUGUCGUCAGCUCGUGCCGUGAGGUGUCGGCUCAAGUGCCAUAACGAGCGCAACCCUUGCCGCCAGUUGCCAUCAGUUGAAGCUGGGCACUCUGGGGGGACUGCCAUCGCAAGAUGCGAGGAAGGUGGGGAUGACGUCAAAUCAGCACGGCCCUUACGUCCGGGGCUACACACGUGUUACAAUGGGGGAUACAGAGCGUUGCGCGCCGGCGACGUCGUGCGGAUCGCGAAAGUCCCCCUCAGUUCGGACUGGAGUCUGCAACCCGACUCCACGAAGCUGGAUUCGCUAGUAAUCGCGCAUCAGCCAUGGCGCGGUGAAUACGUUCCCGGGCC